Urocitellus parryii (Arctic ground squirrel) is the source of this 230-nucleotide non-coding RNA. The record is from RefSeq and is a predicted model, not a curated record. Lineage: Eukaryota; Metazoa; Chordata; Mammalia; Rodentia; Sciuridae.
AGGUCAGGGACAAGAUGGUGCCGCCGGUCCAGGUCUCUCCGCUCAUCAAGCUCGGCCGCUACUCUGCCCUGGUCCUCGGUGUGGCCUGCAGAGCCAAGCGUUACAGUUACCUAAAACCCCGGGCAGAAGAGGAGAGGAGGGUAGCCGCGGAGAAGAAGAAGAGGCAGGAUGAGCUGAAGCGGAUCGAGAGAGAACGGGCCGAAGCCCAAGAUGACAGCAUACUGAAGUGA